CAAUCAGGAGAAAACACAAGCGAUCACAGCUGUCAAGGAGAGAUGGUCAAAUGUCCAGACAAGUGUCAUGUGUUUAAGAGUUAGAGUUGGCUAUUUAUAGUUGGGAAAUAACAAGAAUGUGGAGGGGAGAACCAGAAAAAGAGCAAACCCAAAAACAACCAAACACACACAGAAUCAAAGAUGAGUCUCAACAAUUAUUAGACAAUGCUAAUGAUCUGUCGAAUCUAUCACGCGAUUCUAUCAUACUUUGAUUCUUCAUACAAAAAUCGAUUUUUCAAAAUCCAAAACAGAAGCGAUGAUAUUUGCGUCUUGGCGAGGAAGAAAAAAGAAGAAAUAGAUCUAUACUCAGAUGAUGGUGAUUGGCGAUUUGGCGAUCGAACCAAUCCUGCUUUGCUGAAAUCACACUCAACCUGUUUGGUUUUAAUAAAAGAUACACAGUAAUCCCAUCUCUAUUUUUCUUUUCCUUUUUUCUUUUUCUUUUUUCUUGUCAAGCAUAUAUACCAGGCCCAGGGAAGUCAGCAACGAGCCCAAUGGGUUAAAAAGACAACGACAAUUAUGGAGAAUGCUCAAAGAAGUAGCAAAAAGACUCCAAGCUAAAGCCAUAAAAGAAGGAUCCAACAACUAUGAAAAGUCAAAAGCGAGGAGUUGACAAAGAACAUGACACGAGAUGUCAAAAUCACGAAACGAGAUGUCAAAACCACGACACGAGACAUCGUCGGAGCAGCAGGUACAUUAGGAUGGGAGGGCAGCCAGCCAUUUAGCAAACGAUCAGUGAGCUCAUCUUCAAUAUAAAGUACCUGGUGAAAAUCAAGAAUGGGCAAUGCCUUUCCGACAUGUAUGUACUGGCAACAUUGAAACCCCUCAGUCAAAUCUGCAGCUAUGCAUGCAGAGCGUUUGGCUUGCGGCGAACAUUGUGACAGUGGCCAGCAUAAAAAAAUGACCCAGCAACGGCGUUUGCAAAAGUAGGCAUAUUCCCUCCCCCAACAGCAUAACUAACGAAAGGAGAUGGAGAGGUAAUAUACACAGACCACUCCUUUUUCAGUUGAGCUAAGUGAAGGCAGAUGUCCACGAGCAGCUUACGAGUCCGUUCAGAGAGAUACUACAAAUGUGAAAAGAGAGAAUCAUCAUUGGUCACGAUUUAAAUCCCAGCAAACGAACUCUGAUGAUAAACCAGUUCGAGUGUGAAUUCCUCGAAUACAGCUAUAACCAUUGCAAACAGUGACAAGUGGAAAGUAGAGGGUUAGCUAGAAAGGUUGUGAAGGGGUGGAAGUAGUGUUGGUAUCCCAACAUCGAUAUUAUACUCCUACCUGGCCAAUCAGGGGAAAACACAAGCGAUCGCAGCUAUCAAGGAGAGAUGGCCAAAUGUCCAGACAGGUGUCGUGUAUCUAAGAGUUAGAGUUGACUAUUUAUAGUUGGGAAAUAACAAAAAUGUGGAGGGGAGAACCAUAGAAAGAGCAAACCCAAAAACAACCAAACACACAUAGAAUCAAAGAUGAGUCUCAACAUAAUCUAUUUAAUUAAUAGAUGCUUGUAAAACGAAAUAGUUAACAAAAAAAUUUAAGAAAUCUUUCUCAAUCUCAGACUCUUUCAGA
RNAcentral lists this long non-coding RNA (1592 nucleotides) under Zostera marina. Its description in RNAcentral is "long non-coding RNA (ZMAR_LNC000717)". The record is from RNAcentral. Lineage: Eukaryota; Viridiplantae; Streptophyta; Magnoliopsida; Alismatales; Zosteraceae.